UCGGGAAUUUUGGGCAAUGGGGGAAACCCUGACCCAGCAACGCCGCGUGAAGGAUGAAGUAUUUCGGUAUGUAAACUUCGAAAGAAUAGGAAGAAUAAAUGACGGUACUAUUUAUAAGGUCCGGCUAACUACGUGCCAGCAGCCGCGGUAAUACGUAGGGACCAAGCGUUGUUCGGAUUUACUGGGCGUAAAGGGCGCGUAGGCGGCAUGACAAGUCACUUGUGAAAUCUCUGGGCUUAACCCAGAACGGCCAAGUGAUACUGUCGCGCUAGAGUGCAGAAGGGGCAAUCGGAAUUCUUGGUGUAGCGGUGAAAUGCGUAGAUAUCAAGAGGAACACCUGAGGUGAAGACGGGUUGCUGGGCUGACACUGACGCUGAGGCGCGAAAGCCAGGGGAGCAAACAGGAUUAGAUACCCCCGUAGUCCCUGAGCGGGCUGGCAAGGCGCAU
RNAcentral lists this ribosomal RNA (447 nucleotides) under uncultured bacterium. RNAcentral describes it as "bacterial SSU rRNA". It matches the Rfam family "Bacterial small subunit ribosomal RNA", at positions 355 to 825 of the family's 1533-position model. The record is from RNAcentral.